ACCGAUUGAAUGGUUUAGCAAGGUCCUCGGAUUGGUGCCAUUGCAGUGGCUUCGGCCGCUCGACCGGUGCUGAGAAGACGACCAAACUUGAUCAUUUAGAGGAAGUAAAAGUCGUAACAAGGUUUCCGUAGGUGAACCUGCGGAAGGAUCAUUACCUGAAAAUCUACUCUUACACAAGCGAUACACGUGUGACCGUCAUGUCAUGCGAUAAAAAUUUGCGGACGGCUAUGCCUGGCUCAUUGAGGUCACAGCAUAUCCGAUCACUGAUGGGGUGCCUACCUGUAUGAUACUCCGAUGGUAUGCUUGCGUCUCUCGGGGCGCUUGUCCAAGCCAGGAGAACGGGUUGUACUGCCAUGAUUGGUAGUGCUAGGCUUAAAGAGGAGAUUUGGGCUACGGCCCUGCUCCCGCCCUAUGAACUGUUUCAUUACUACAAUUACACUGUUAAAGUGGUAUUGAAUGGCUUGCCAUUCUUUGCCAUUGCCCUCGCAU
Molecule: unclassified non-coding RNA, 489 nt
Filed under: Fasciola sp. Dam3
Lineage: Eukaryota; Metazoa; Platyhelminthes; Trematoda; Plagiorchiida; Fasciolidae
Description: partial contains 18S rRNA, ITS1
Rfam family: Eukaryotic small subunit ribosomal RNA (bases 1-154)
Source: RNAcentral